AUCUUGACAUUGCUGCUGGUAUGGUGGUUUUCCCUACCAUGCAGGUUCUCUGCUGAUGCUGUGGGACCUGGGGAGUCCAUUUGUCUAAAGCAGGCAGCAUAUUGGGGAGGGAGAAGCGAGCUGGCAGAUGUUAGAAGGAGCGUUGUCCUAUCUGCAGAUGUGCUUCCUCUUCCAUGGGCCUACAAGCAGUUGAGAGAGGAUGUAUUCCUUGUAAAGCACUGACCAACACCAGAGGAGAGUGGAACCUUCAUUUAUUUUCCCCUUGGGCUACUCAAAUUAUGGAAAUCCUGCCAUGCCACCAUGCCAGUUCAGUUCUCCAUCACUUUCAUAGCAUUGGGUUUAGCCCUGCUGUACACAACACCAAUGAUGCUAGGAUCCAUCCCGCUGAUAUCCUGGGUGAUGGUGGUAUGUUGCUGUUGACUUUAUGGCUCAGUAGUGUUCUGUUCUCCUUUAUUUUUAUCUGCAUGUUACAAUUUCAAGAUUAUUUAUCCUGUAGUUUCAAGGAAACGUGAUAGCUGGUAUCACACGUGACCCAGUGAUAUCGUUGGGUCUGAUACCACUCAGAAGGAAUUAACACUGGAGAGUAAACUGAAGGGGGCCGCAAAGUGGACCUAAAAAGGGGAAGUGGAGGGAAGUUGGUACAUAAGGGGGAAAAAAGGAAAAAGUUUUGAAAUAGAUGGACUGGGAUGGAAGGUUCAGUGGUAGAGGUGGAGCAACCAGAAAGUGUGAUGUGAUGGUCAGUGUAGCUGAACUUCACUUGCUGAGUAGCCAGAAAAUCUGGGGAGGAGGGGCAGGGCUGUGUUUCAGUACAAGACAAACUUACCUUAGAGAUAAUUUUGCUCUAGAUGCAUUGGCUUGGUGACCUUAAGACUCGAACUGGGUGUUUUACUCAUAGCAAUGAUAGCAAUAUCAUAUCGUGUUUGCACAGGGUGCAGCUUUUCUUAUUAUCAUGGCUAGAAUGCACAACUACUUGGAUUCACACACUUUGUGGUUUAAUUAAACCUUAUCUUCAGCUCUAAGAUCAUGUCCCCGAUGUGAUUGAGCAAUGGCAGUAGCUGCCCUCAAGUAGUUUUUGUUCCCAGAGCUGCCUUUUCUAACCUUUGACAUGAUCCAGGCAGUGACUGUCAGCAGAGCAUUUUGCAGCAUGGUGGAGGCUCGUGGCACUGCAGGAUUGUCUUUUGUGUGUUGACAGGGACUUUCACCUCCUCCAUGCUGUGGUCUCCCUGGCAUUCCUGCGCUCCCUUGUUCUCUGCUGGUUUCACUGUGAAGCCCUCCAAAAUACUACCUGCCAGUGCUUGUGUUUGCCUGCUGCUCCUCUGAGGACCUAGGUCCUGGAGCUUCUGCCUGUGGCAUGGUGCCAACUUUAAGAGACUAAUCUUGCUGCAUGUUACAGGACCGACCACAUCCUCCUCUCCAUGGAGACGGGUGUGAGCAGCAGCAGAGAGUGAGCUGGAGUAGCCUUUAUCCUCCCCACACCUUGCAGCUGCCAGCAGCUACUUUCUGUUGCUCCCAUUGUCCACCUGCACAGAGGCUCUCAGGAACAUGGAAAAAAACAAGGCCUGACCUCUCACCAUGCCAGGGUGCCUGAGGGUCAGGGAGAAGAUCUCAGCAUGCAGAAAUCUGGAGAAAGAUGUCUUUCAUUUUUGUUUCCAAGUCAGCCCUCUUGCACAGUCAGAGAUCUCCAUGAAUGGAGGAAGACCACUCACGCCAAACCAUCUCUGAGCUCAUGAUCAAGGAAACAGGGUCACUGUGUUUAGGGUGAGAAGCUUAUACCCACUGGUAUAACACAUGUACUUGCUCAGGGAAGUAAAGUGUGGGUUAUUUAUUUAAUCCUUGGAGCAAUCUGACUUUUUUCUUUCCUCUCUGAGAAAACUCCAGAGAUGAGUUAAGACAAGAUAGUUUUUGUUGUUUUUUUUUUUUUUAAUUAAGGACUUACUGAAUUUGUCACUCCAUAUUGCUUCUGACACAGUGAAAGCUGUAAAUUAAUAUUGAAGCCUGUAAGUCUAAUUUAUCUGCCUAUUUCCACCACUUUGACAGCAUAAGAAGAUGGCAAACUGGGCAUGUAUGUGAUGAAUAUGCACAAAAAAAUGUAUGUGCCAACAAAAUAGAUACAAAUAUCCUUAAUACAAAUGGGAAUUAGGCUUCCAGCAUCCAGGAGUUAUUGACAGCUCAUGAUACUUGUCAGCAGCAAUGAUGAUAAAUCUCAGCAAUUCAGAAGCUUAUCAGUUCUCACCUUUCUCACAUUGCAUACUUAGUACACAAGAUGCUCCUUGGAACUGAAGAAAAGAGACCACUGAGUAAAUAAAUAUGAGCUUUUCCCACUGUUUGUUUUUUGGUUGGUUGGUUUUUUUUGUUGGGGUUUUUUUUUUUUCCAGCCUACAGAAGCAAUCUAAGGACUUCUAUAGUGCAGACUUUUCUUUUCCUUUUCUCUUGAAUUAACCAAAACCUUUUUUUCUAAAUGGUAAGGCAGUGGAAAUAGACAGUAAAAAUAAAAAUAGUAAGCAAAAUGUGCCACAGUGAGAUGAAUAAGGACUCUGUAUCUCGUGUGGAUUUGCUUUGAGGGGGUGCUGUGGGAUCCUAGUGCUGCAGUUACACUUGCAUGAGCAUCUGCUCCUCUUUCCACUACUUGUCUGAACCUUGUUGACCCACAUCUGAGGUCACAGUGAAAAGUCUGACACCAAGUGUGCAUCUGAAAGGUCAAGUGCACCAAAAAGCCAGGAAGGGCAGUAUGCACCCCUUCAACCCUGGUCAGAACCCCCUCUACCCCAGCCCUUGGGGUUAUCCAUGGAGAGCAGGGCAGGGAGGGGAAAGGAUGUGAGAGCAGUAUAGGAGAACACGGUACCAAGACUUCGGCCUCCCAUGGGCAGGCUGCUGCAGAAGACCAAAUCUGCCAGCUGGGAGAUUUUACAGAGCCCUGUGUAAAAUAAAUACUAC
Molecule: long non-coding RNA, 2934 nt
Organism: Falco peregrinus (peregrine falcon)
Lineage: Eukaryota; Metazoa; Chordata; Aves; Falconiformes; Falconidae
Exons: 6
Source: RefSeq, a predicted model, not a curated record